Molecule: long non-coding RNA, 390 nt
Organism: Eriocheir sinensis (Chinese mitten crab)
Lineage: Eukaryota; Metazoa; Arthropoda; Malacostraca; Decapoda; Varunidae
Exons: 3
Source: RefSeq, a predicted model, not a curated record
CUUAUUACGUGUUUGGCGAGGCGGUGGACAGUGUAAGGCGUUGAAAAGACCUAAGAAGAGGACGAUACUGUGAUAUGACGUGUGUGGUGCCCGCUGAUACACGUAUACGAGGGCUAAGCAUGGAUCAGCUGGUUGUGGUUCCCUCCUGCCUGGGUCUCACUGCUACACACGGCUGGAGCAGUGUGUGGUGUGGCGGUGGACAGUGUGAGGCAAGGAAAAGGCCUAAAGACAAGACAUGGUGGCGGUGAUGUUCUGUGUGUGUGACAUUUGGCCCGGGCAUGAAUCAGCUGGGCCUCAUAUGCUGGGCCUCGGCACACCUACGACGCGACGGAAAGGUAGCUUGUGGCUUCUUCACCAACGUCAGCAUCAGCCUCGAAGAUGUCGGUGAGU